Long non-coding RNA from Oncorhynchus keta (chum salmon), 734 nucleotides. RefSeq lists it as uncharacterized. The record is from RefSeq and is a predicted model, not a curated record. The transcript is spliced from 6 exons. Lineage: Eukaryota; Metazoa; Chordata; Actinopteri; Salmoniformes; Salmonidae.
ACUGGUCUAAUAGGUCUAUAGAUACUGGUCUAACUGGUCUAUAGAUACUGGUCUAACAGGUCUAUAGAUACUGGUCGAACAGGUCUAUGGAUACUGGUCUAACAGGUCUAUAGAUACUGGUCUAAAUAUACUGGUCUAACUGGUCUAUAGAUACUGGAUACUGGUCUAACAGGUCUAUAGAUACUGGUCUAUAGACACUGGUCUAACAGGUCUAUAGAUACUGGUCUAACAUGUCUAUAGAUACUGGUCUAACAGGUCUAUAGAUACUGGUCUAACAGGUCUAUAGAUACUGGUCUAACAGGUCUAUAGAUACUGGUCUGGUCUAACAGGUCUAUAGAUUCUGGUCUAACUGGUCUAUAGAUACUGGUCUAACAGGUCUAUAGAUACUGGUCUAACUGGUCUAUAGAUACUGGUCUAAUUGGUCUAUAGAUACUGGUCUAACAGGUCUAUAGAUACUGGUCUAACAGGUCUAUAGAUACUGGUCUAUAGACACUGGUCUAACAGGUCUAUAGAUACUGGUCUAACUGGUCUAUAGAUACUGGUCUAACAGGUCUAUAGAUACUGGUCUAUAGAUACUGGUCUAACAGGUCUAUAGAUACUGGUCUAACAGGUCUAUAGAUACUGGUCUAACUGGUCUAUAGAUACUGGUCUAGCUGGUCUAUAGACACUGGUCUAACAGGUCUAUAGACACUGGUCUAACAGGUCUAUAGACACUGAAGGCUAUCGUAAUAAAG